RNAcentral lists this ribosomal RNA (452 nucleotides) under uncultured bacterium. RNAcentral describes it as "bacterial SSU rRNA". It matches the Rfam family "Bacterial small subunit ribosomal RNA", at positions 340 to 783 of the family's 1533-position model. The record is from RNAcentral.
UACGGAAGGCAGCAGUGGGGAAUAUUGCACAAUGGGCGAAAGCCUGAUGCAGCUAUGCCGCGUGUAUGAAGAAGGCCUUAGGGUUGUAAAGUACUUUCAUCGGGGAGGAAAAACAAAACUAAUAAUUUUAUUUCUUGACGUUACCCGAAAAAGAAGCACCGGCUAACUCCGUGCCAGCAGCCGCGGUAAUACGGAGGGUGCUAGCGUUAAUCAGAAUUACUGGGCGUAAAGAGCACGUAGGUGGUUUUUUUAAGUCAGAUGUGAAAUCCCUGGGCUUAACCUAGGAACUGCAUUUUGAAACUGAAAUACUAGAGUAUCGUAGAGGGAGGUAGAAUUCUAGGUGUAGCGGUGAAAUGCGUAGAUAUCUGGAGGAAUACCUGUGGCGAAAGCGGCCUCCUAAACGAAUACUGACACUGAGGUGCGAAAGCGUGGGGAGCAAACAGGGAUUAGAA